RNAcentral lists this ribosomal RNA (1550 nucleotides) under Vibrio alfacsensis. RNAcentral describes it as "16S ribosomal RNA". It matches the Rfam family "Bacterial small subunit ribosomal RNA". Lineage: Bacteria; Pseudomonadati; Pseudomonadota; Gammaproteobacteria; Vibrionales; Vibrionaceae. The record is from RNAcentral.
AAAUUGAAGAGUUUGAUCAUGGCUCAGAUUGAACGCUGGCGGCAGGCCUAACACAUGCAAGUCGAGCGGCAGCGACAACAUUGAAUCUUCGGAGGAUUUGUUGGGCGGCGAGCGGCGGACGGGUGAGUAAUGCCUAGGAAAUUGCCCUGAUGUGGGGGAUAACCAUUGGAAACGAUGGCUAAUACCGCAUGAUGCCUACGGGCCAAAGAGGGGGACCUUCGGGCCUCUCGCGUCAGGAUAUGCCUAGGUGGGAUUAGCUAGUUGGUGAGGUAAGGGCUCACCAAGGCGACGAUCCCUAGCUGGUCUGAGAGGAUGAUCAGCCACACUGGAACUGAGACACGGUCCAGACUCCUACGGGAGGCAGCAGUGGGGAAUAUUGCACAAUGGGCGCAAGCCUGAUGCAGCCAUGCCGCGUGUGUGAAGCGCUGGGUUGUAAAGCACUUUCAGUAGGGAGGAAGGUUCAUGCGUUAAUAGCGUAUGGAUUUGACGUUACCUACAGAAGAAGCACCGGCUAACUCCGUGCCAGCAGCCGCGGUAAUACGGAGGGUGCGAGCGUUAAUCGGAAUUACUGGGCGUAAAGCGCAUGCAGGUGGUUUGUUAAGUCAGAUGUGAAAGCCCGGGGCUCAACCUCGGAAUUGCAUUUGAAACUGGCAGACUAGAGUACUGUAGAGGGGGGUAGAAUUUCAGGUGUAGCGGUGAAAUGCGUAGAGAUCUGAAGGAAUACCGGUGGCGAAGGCGGCCCCCUGGACAGAUACUGACACUCAGAUGCGAAAGCGUGGGGAGCAAACAGGAUUAGAUACCCUGGUAGUCCACGCCGUAAACGAUGUCUACUUGGAGGUUGUGGCCUUGAGCCGUGGCUUUCGGAGCUAACGCGUUAAGUAGACCGCCUGGGGAGUACGGUCGCAAGAUUAAAACUCAAAUGAAUUGACGGGGGCCCGCACAAGCGGUGGAGCAUGUGGUUUAAUUCGAUGCAACGCGAAGAACCUUACCUACUCUUGACAUCCAGAGAAGCCAGUAGAGAUACAGGUGUGCCUGGGAACUCUGAGACAGGUGCUGCAUGGCUGUCGUCAGCUCGUGUUGUGAAAUGUUGGGUUAAGUCCCGCAACGAGCGCAACCCUUAUCCUUGUUUGCCAGCGAGUAAUGUCGGGAACUCCAGGGAGACUGCCGGUGAUAAACCGGAGGAAGGUGGGGACGACGUCAAGUCAUCAUGGCCCUUACGAGUAGGGCUACACACGUGCUACAAUGGCGCAUACAGAGGGCGGCCAACUUGCGAAAGUGAGCGAAUCCCAAAAGUGCGUCGUAGUCCGGAUUGAGUCUGCAACUCGACUCCAUGAAGUCGGAAUCGCUAGUAAUCGUGGAUCAGAAUGCCACGGUGAAUACGUUCCGGCCUUGUACACACCGCCCGUCACACCAUGGGAGUGGGCUGCAAAAGAAGUAGGUAGUUUAACCUUUCGGGGAGGACGCUUACCACUUUGUGGUUCAUGACUGGGGUGAAGUCGUAACAAGGUAGCGCUAGGGGAACCUGGCGCUGGAUCACCUCCUUAUACGAA